This 560-nucleotide ribosomal RNA is filed under the name uncultured bacterium. RNAcentral's name for it is "bacterial SSU rRNA". It matches the Rfam family "Bacterial small subunit ribosomal RNA", at positions 338 to 915 of the family's 1533-position model. The record is from RNAcentral.
CCUACGGGAGGCAGCAGUGGGGAAUAUUGGACAAUGGGCGAAAGCCUGAUCCAGCAAUGCCGCGUGAGUGAUGAAGGCCUUAGGGUUGUAAAGCUCUUUUACCCGGGAUGAUAAUGACAGUACCGGGAGAAUAAGCUCCGGCUAACUCCGUGCCAGCAGCCGCGGUAAUACGGAGGGAGCUAGCGUUAUUCGGAAUUACUGGGCGUAAAGCGCACGUAGGCGGCUUUGUAAGUAAGAGGUGAAAGCCUGGAGCUCAACUCCAGAAUUGCCUUUUAGACUGCAUCGCUUGAAUCCAGGAGAGGUGAGUGGAAUUCCGAGUGUAGAGGUGAAAUUCGUAGAUAUUCGGAAGAACACCAGUGGCGAAGGCGGCUCACUGGACUGGUAUUGACGCUGAGGUGCGAAAGCGUGGGGAGCAAACAGGAUUAGAUACCCGUGGUAGUCCACGCCGUAAACGAUGAUAACUAGCUGUCGGGGUUCUUAGAACUUCGGUGGCGCAGCUAACGCAUUAAGUUAUCCGCCUGGGGAGUACGGCCGCAAGGUUAAACUUAAAGGAAUUGACG